This 213-nucleotide long non-coding RNA is filed under the name Elaeis guineensis (African oil palm). RNAcentral's name for it is "long non-coding RNA (EGUI_LNC036651)". Lineage: Eukaryota; Viridiplantae; Streptophyta; Magnoliopsida; Arecales; Arecaceae. The record is from RNAcentral.
GGAAUCUUACACGCCAAAGGAGAGCACCCAACAACCUUUCAUGCAAGACCUUCAUGCAUGCGUGCUUUUGGGUGAAAAAAAAAUCACCACCCCUUCUCCUCUUGGUUGGCCUCCUUAUGAGAGAGAGUCUCAGGUACAUGGGACUCUUUGGUUUCAAACUAAAUGGGCUCAAAUUUGACUCGUUUUGGAUCUAAUUAGAACCCUAUUCGAACC